GGUUAAGUUAGAAAGGGCGCACGGUGGAUGCCUUGACACUAGGAGUCGAUGAAGGACGGGACUAACGCCGAUAUGCUUCGGGGAGCUGUAAGUAAGCUUUGAUCCGAAGAUUUCCGAAUGGGGAAACCCACUAUACGUAAUGGUAUGGUAUCCUUACCUGAAUACAUAGGGUAUGGAAGACAGACCCAGGGAACUGAAACAUCUAAGUACCUGGAGGAAGAGAAAGCAAAUGCGAUUUCCUGAGUAGCGGCGAGCGAAACGGAACAUAGCCCAAACCAAGAGGCUUGCCUCUUGGGGUUGUAGGACAUUCUAUACGGAGUUACAAAGGAACGAGGUAGACGAAGCGACCUGGAAAGGUCCGUCGUAGAGGGUAACAACCCCGUAGUCGAAACUUCGUUCUCUCUUGAAUGUAUCCUGAGUACGGCGGAACACGUGAAAUUCCGUCGGAAUCUGGGAGGACCAUCUCCCAAGGCUAAAUACUCCCUAGUGAUCGAUAGUGAACCAGUACCGUGAGGGAAAGGUGAAAAGCACCCCGGAAGGGGAGUGAAAGAGAUCCUGAAACCGUGUGCCUACAAAUAGUCAGAGCCCGUUAAUGGGUGAUGGCGUGCCUUUUGUAGAAUGAACCGGCGAGUUACGAUCCCGUGCGAGGUUAAGCUGAAGAGGCGGAGCCGCAGCGAAAGCGAGUCUGAAUAGGGCGUUUAGUACGUGGUCGUAGACCCGAAACCAGGUGAUCUACCCAUGUCCAGGGUGAAGUUCAGGUAACACUGAAUGGAGGCCCGAACCCACGCACGUUGAAAAGUGCGGGGAUGAGGUGUGGGUAGCGGAGAAAUUCCAAUCGAACCUGGAGAUAGCUGGUUCUCCCCGAAAUAGCUUUAGGGCUAGCCUUAAGUGUAAGAGUCUUGGAGGUAGAGCACUGAUUGAACUAGGGGUCCUCAUCGGAUUACCGAAUUCAGUCAAACUCCGAAUGCCAAUGACUUAUCCUUAGGAGUCAGACUGCGAGUGAUAAGAUCCGUAGUCAAGAGGGAAACAGCCCAGAUCGCCAGCUAAGGUCCCAAAGUGUGUAUUAAGUGGAAAAGGAUGUGGAGUUGCUUAGACAACUAGGAUGUUGGCUUAGAAGCAGCCACCAUUUAAAGAGUGCGUAAUAGCUCACUAGUCGAGUGACUCUGCGCCGAAAAUGUACCGGGGCUAAAUACACCACCGAAGCUGCGAAUUGAUACCGAUGGUAUCAGUGGUAGCCUAAGCCGAGGCCGACAGGCGUAGGCGAUGGACAACAGGUUGAUAUUCCUGUACCACCUCUUUAUCGUUUGAGCAAUGGAGGGACGCAGAAGGAUAGAAGAAGCGUGCGAUUGGUUGUGCACGUCCAAGCAGUUAGGCUGAUAAGUAGGCAAAUCCGCUUAUCGUGAAGGCUGAGCUGUGAUGGGGAAGCUCCUUAUGGAGCGAAGUCUUUGAUUCCCCGCUGCCAAGAAAAGCUUCUAGCGAGAUAAAAGGUGCCUGUACCGCAAACCGACACAGGUAGGCGAGGAGAGAAUCCUAAGGUGUGCGAGAGAACUCUGGUUAAGGAACUCGGCAAAAUGACCCCGUAACUUCGGGAGAAGGGGUGCUUUCUUAACGGAAAGCCGCAGUGAAUAGGCCCAAGCGACUGUUUAGCAAAAACACAGCUCUCUGCGAAGCCGUAAGGCGAAGUAUAGGGGGUGACACCUGCCCGGUGCUGGAAGGUUAAGGAGAGGGGUUAGCGUAAGCGAAGCUCUGAACUGAAGCCCCAGUAAACGGCGGCCGUAACUAUAACGGUCCUAAGGUAGCGAAAUUCCUUGUCGGGUAAGUUCCGACCCGCACGAAAGGUGUAACGAUUUGGGCACUGUCUCAACCAGAGACUCGGUGAAAUUAUAGUACCUGUGAAGAUGCAGGUUACCCGCGACAGGACGGAAAGACCCCGUGGAGCUUUACUGUAGCCUGAUAUUGAAUUUUGGUACAGUUUGUACAGGAUAGGCGGGAGCCAUUGAAACCGGAGCGCUAGCUUCGGUGGAGGCGCUGGUGGGAUACCGCCCUGACUGUAUUGAAAUUCUAACCUACGGGUCUUAUCGACCCGGGAGACAGUGUCAGGUGGGCAGUUUGACUGGGGCGGUCGCCUCCUAAAGUGUAACGGAGGCGCCCAAAGGUUCCCUCAGAAUGGUUGGAAAUCAUUCGUAGAGUGCAAAGGCAUAAGGGAGCUUGACUGCGAGACCUACAAGUCGAGCAGGGACGAAAGUCGGGCUUAGUGAUCCGGUGGUUCCGCAUGGAAGGGCCAUCGCUCAACGGAUAAAAGCUACCCCGGGGAUAACAGGCUUAUCUCCCCCAAGAGUCCACAUCGACGGGGAGGUUUGGCACCUCGAUGUCGGCUCAUCGCAUCCUGGGGCUGUAGUCGGUCCCAAGGGUUGGGCUGUUCGCCCAUUAAAGCGGUACGCGAGCUGGGUUCAGAACGUCGUGAGACAGUUCGGUCCCUAUCCGUCGUGGGCGUAGGAAAUUUGAGAGGAGCUGUCCUUAGUACGAGAGGACCGGGAUGGACGCACCGCUGGUGUACCAGUUGUUCUGCCAAGGGCAUAGCUGGGUAGCUAUGUGCGGAAGGGAUAAGUGCUGAAAGCAUCUAAGCAUGAAGCCCCCUCAAGAUGAGAUUUCCCAUAGCGUAAGCUAGUAAGAUCCCUGAAAGAUGAUCAGGUUGAUAGGUUCGAGGUGGAAGCAUGGUGACAUGUGGAGCUGACGAAUACUAAUAGAUCGAGGACUUAACCAU
RNAcentral lists this ribosomal RNA (2764 nucleotides) under Bacillus thuringiensis serovar tenebrionis. RNAcentral's name for it is "23S ribosomal RNA". It matches the Rfam family "Bacterial large subunit ribosomal RNA". Lineage: Bacteria; Bacillati; Bacillota; Bacilli; Caryophanales; Bacillaceae. The record is from RNAcentral.